This 572-nucleotide ribosomal RNA is filed under the name uncultured bacterium. Its description in RNAcentral is "partial 16S ribosomal RNA". It matches the Rfam family "Bacterial small subunit ribosomal RNA", at positions 355 to 918 of the family's 1533-position model. The record is from RNAcentral.
UGGGGAAUUUUGGACAAUGGGCGAAAGCCUGAUCCAGCAAUGCCGCGUGUGUGAAGAAGGCCUUCGGGUUGUAAAGCACUUUUGUCCGGAAAGAAAUCCUUGGCUCUAAUACAGUCGGGGGAUGACGGUACCGGAAGAAUAAGCACCGGCUAACUACGUGCCAGCAGCCGCGGUAAUACGUAGGGUGCAAGCGUUAAUCGGAAUUACUGGGCGUAAAGCGUGCGCAGGCGGUUUGCUAAGACCGAUGUGAAAUCCCCGGGCUCAACCUGGGAACUGCAUUGGUGACUGGCAGGCUAGAGUAUGGCAGAGGGGGGUAGAAUUCCACGUGUAGCAGUGAAAUGCGUAGAGAUGUGGAGGAAUACCGAUGGCGAAGGCAGCCCCCUGGGCCAAAUACUGACGCUCAUGCACGAAAGCGUGGGGAGCAAACAGGAUUAGAUACCCUGGUAGUCCACGCCCUAAAACGAUGUCAACUAGUUGUUGGGGAUUCAUUUCCUUAGUAACGUAGCUAACGCGUGAAGUUGACCGCCUGGGGAGUACGGUCGCAAGAUUAAAACUCAAAUGAAUUGACGGGG